Suricata suricatta (meerkat) is the source of this 835-nucleotide long non-coding RNA. RefSeq lists it as uncharacterized. Lineage: Eukaryota; Metazoa; Chordata; Mammalia; Carnivora; Herpestidae. The record is from RefSeq and is a predicted model, not a curated record. The transcript has 5 exons.
CUCCCGCACCCGGUACGUUCCAGCCAGCAGGACUCUGCUCCUACCUGAAGGCAGCACAUGACCUCCAGCCUUCCGCCUGGCACCCUCUCCUCUCACAUCCUUCAUCAGUGUCUUUGCUGGACUUCGGAUUCAUCUCUGAGGCUCCUCUGGAAUGGUCGUGCCCUGGGAGAUGUUCCAUAGCCCUCCGCUCCCCGCAUGCUGCACUUCCCGACCGGGUGGGAUCACAUGCUGUGUCGAGUUCCUUUGUGACCGAAGACGGUCCAUGAGAAUAGCACCUAGCCUUCUUACCGACCAGGAAUGCUUACGAGAACGUUCACCUCUCUUGGCAAACACGGCGAUACCACACGACUGUUAUUUUCACCUUCACUUCUUCAUGUGACAAAGAGAUGGUCAAGAGAGGUUUUCGGGCCCAGUGGAGGAGACCCAAAGGUGGACGGCCAGGAGUGAAACUGAAGCCAGGUCAGCUGACCCCAUGUAGCCAACGGCCCACAUGCUGUCGGCGCCCCCCAGACCCAGUCUGCUCCCUUCUGUGUGUGCCUCUGGCUACAACACUCACCGUGAGAGAACACGCAGCAUGCGCUCUGCACAGCCUCACUCCCACGUGCGCCGGCACAUGCCCGCUGCCUGCCCAGGUCACCGAGGAGUCCCUGUGAAGUGUGAUAACAGCUGUGAGGCUCCUGCCUGUUCCCAACCGCAGUUUCUAGCACCCUCUUCAGAGAGAGUUGGACGCAGAGUGCACGUAGCCCGAGAAAACGGAAGCUCACUUCCCGGUGGAUACUGGGCUCAUUAGAAACACCGCGUCAUCACACAAUCAGCAUUUUACUAAAAAAGUAAU